CCUACGGGAGGCAGCAGUGGGGAAUAUUGCACAAUGGGCGAAAGCCUGAUGCAGCAACGCCGCGUGAAGGAAGACUGCCCUAUGGGUUGUAAACCUCUUUUGUCAGGGAGCAAUUGGCGCUACGUGUAGCGUUAUCGAGAGUACCUGAAGAAAAAGCAUCGGCUAACUCCGUGCCAGCAGCCGCGGUAAUACGGAGGAUGCGAGCGUUAUCCGGAUUUAUUGGGUUUAAAGGGUGCGUAGGCGGAAUGCCAAGUCAGCGGUAAAAUCGCGGGGCUCAACCUCGCUCCGCCGUUGAAACUGGCGUUCUUGAGUGGGCGAGAAGUAUGCGGAAUGCGUGGUGUAGCGGUGAAAUGCAUAGAUAUCACGCAGAACUCCGAUUGCGAAGGCAGCAUACCGGCGCCCAACUGACGCUGAAGCACGAAAGCGUGGGUAUCGAACAGGAUUAGAUACCCUUGUAGUC
This 460-nucleotide ribosomal RNA is filed under the name uncultured bacterium. RNAcentral's name for it is "partial 16S ribosomal RNA". It matches the Rfam family "Bacterial small subunit ribosomal RNA", at positions 338 to 795 of the family's 1533-position model. The record is from RNAcentral.